Molecule: unclassified non-coding RNA, 242 nt
Filed under: Moritella viscosa
Lineage: Bacteria; Pseudomonadati; Pseudomonadota; Gammaproteobacteria; Alteromonadales; Moritellaceae
Description: putative sRNA
Source: RNAcentral
GAGAAUAUGGUAUAUUCAGGCACUAUUUUUAAUUAACCUAUCCAUAAUAGAUAGCUCAACUGCAAAUCUUCCCGUUCACAGGGUAAAAAUUUGUUUCUGUAUUUAGGUAUGGCACCUAGAUAUUUAAUAAGUAUUUAACGCUCAGAGUAAACAAUCCAGUCAUCAAUCAUGAGACUGUAAUAUCAAUGGUUAGGAUUCAUCCCACCACACUAUUUACUCGGUAUUAAAUAUCAACUUCAAUC